GUUAUUUUUGAGCGGGCUCCAUGAGGAAAGAGAUACUCCAAGAGUCCAUGGUUGGUGUGACAUCAGAGGUUGGAUCAACAUAAUAGUGGUUGCUACGCUCAUGUUUCUGAGCAUGGUUACACCUGGUUCGACAGUUAGCGGCUCAGAACAAGUCAGUGAUUUCAGCGUCGCGCCGGAUGAAGAGCUUGUCCAGUUGGUGCAGAGAAUGGGCACCGUCGAUCACAGUGUAUUCGAGAUCGCGGAGAAUCGAAUCACUCCUUUAGCAGUUAUUUACGUGAAUCGAAAGCGUGGAGUCGGGCACUUCACCACGGUGCAGGCUGCCAUUGAUCACGUGCCUGUGAACAAUGACCGUAGAGUCCACAUUAUCGUCGCGCCGGGUGUCUACAAGUAAAUACACAUUAACCUCAUCUGCUUGAAUUCCUUGUUGAGAAUUGAGGUCAAUCUAAUCUCUACAAUGCAGAAUCUCUGCUUGAUCGUAUUUGGAAUUUAUCUGGAUGCCGACGAUGAAUUGCCUGGUUUGACCAAUAGGAAAGGAUUCAAAACUGAGCCCAAGUGAUUGAAAAUGGUGCAGAGAGAAGAUAGUAGUACCAUCGUCGAAACCAUAUGUUACAAUUCUAGGCGGAGGAUGGAACAACACAAUCCUGCAAUGGAAUGACACUGCUGACUGCGCUGACAAGGAAGGUGCGAAGCUUGGCACCUACUGGAGCGCCUCCUUAGCUGUUGAAGCUCAGUACUUUAUUGCCCGUAACAUCACAAUUAAGGUUUGUGUUUCUGAGGGUACCUACGUAUGAAAAUACUUGUGUGCUUUGAGGUCAUCUAUUAAUACUGUAACUUGGAGGGAUCUAAUUACUAUUGCAAUUCUGAACAAUUAUAAUUCUUCUUUGGGUGUUAUGAAAAGAAUACGGCUUCCAUGCCGGCUGCAGGAGCAGCAGGAAAGCAAGCAGUGGCGCUGCGUGUAACAGGGGACACAGCAGCUUUCUAUGGCUGUCGGUUCAUGAGCACCCAGGAUACUCUCUACGAUCAUGUGGGCCGCCAUUACUUCAAAGACUGCUACAUUGAGGGCUCCAUUGACUUCGUCUUCGGAAACGGUCGGUCUCUUUACGAGGUAACUAGUGUAUGCCAAAGUUUUAGUCCAGUUCUAUUGACCUGUAAAUGAUCGACAAAACCGUCGUAAUAUUUGGGUACAAGGGAUACAAACUGAUUUCAGUGGGUUUGGUAAUUCGAUCCCUUUGGAACCAGAGCUGCCAUCUCCAUGCCUUACCGCGAACAACUUUCGGAUCAGUGGCUGCACAAAAGCGAGGAAACGUGUCAGAGCAAACAGGCUUCUCGUUCCUGAAUUGCAAGAUCACAGGGUCAGGGCUCUUAUACUUGGGGCGCGCCUGGGGAUCCUACGCUCGCGUCGUGUACUCAUACACCUACAUGGACAACAUCAUCGUCCCUGCCGGAUGGUCCAACUGGAACGACCCGCGACGAAACAAGUUCUGGCCCCAGCAACUCCCUCUAGUUUCCAACCUUGUCAUUAAAAUGCUUGUCGAAUUCGUGUUCGAGUGUUGAUCACCUUUACUACACGAUUGACUGCAGUUGGCAAUGACAGUAUGUUAUGACAUGGACUCUCGCUUACUAAAAUGCCGAUGAUCUGUCGUUCACGAUGUGCAGAACAGUAAUAUUCGGGCAGUACAAGUGCUUCGGGCCAGGAGCCAAACAGACGGGCCGAGUCCCCUGGUCACAUGAGCUCACCGAUACCGAGGCCCGCCCAUUUCUAAGUCUGUCGUUUGUCGAUGGAGACGAAUGGGUGCAACCGUGAUACAUCAACACAUCCCCGAAUGGAAGCCUGCUGAUUCUACACAGACUUCCAGGAACGUCUCUUUCAGGUGAUCAGAAACGUGGGUGAGAUUCGACGUUCUGAGGUAUAGCCUCAUAGCGCCGAUGCUUCGGAGACUCACUAGAUCUUUGUAUCACUCUUAACCUAAUAGUGGCUCUUCGAUGUGUUUGUAGUUAU
Molecule: long non-coding RNA, 1999 nt
Filed under: Physcomitrium patens
Lineage: Eukaryota; Viridiplantae; Streptophyta; Bryopsida; Funariales; Funariaceae
Description: long non-coding RNA (PPAT_LNC007779)
Source: RNAcentral